Molecule: ribosomal RNA, 542 nt
Filed under: uncultured bacterium
Lineage: Bacteria
Description: bacterial SSU rRNA
Rfam family: Bacterial small subunit ribosomal RNA
Source: RNAcentral
UAACGGCCCACCAAACCGACGAUGGAUAAGGGUUCUGAGAGGAAGGUCCCCCACAUUGGUACUGAGACACGGACCAAGCUCCUACGGGAGGCAGCAGUGAGGAAUAUUGGUCAAUGGGCGUAAGCCUGAACCAGCCAAGUCGCGUGAGGGAUGAAGGUUCUAUGGAUCGUAAACCUCUUUUAUAAGGGAAUAAAGUGUGGGACGUGUCCUAUUUUGUAUGUACCUUAUGAAUAAGGAUCGGCUAACUCCGUGCCAGCAGCCGCGGUAAUACGGAGGAUCCGAGCGUUAUCCGGAUUUAUUGGGUUUAAAGGGUGCGUAGGCGGCCUUUUAAGUCAGCGGUGAAAGUCUGUGGCUCAACCAUAGAAUUGCCGUUGAAACUGGGGGGCUUGAGUAUGUUUGAGGCAGGCGGAAUGCGUGGUGUAGCGGUGAAAUGCUUAGAUAUCACGCAGAACCCCGAUUGCGAAGGCAGCCUGCCAAGCCAUGACUGACGCUGAUGCACGAAAGCGUGGGGAUCAAACAGGAUUAGAUACCCUGGUAGUCCA